UUUAUCUAGUUUAAUAAAAUAAUAGCUUGUCAAGCUGUAGAAGCUAAAUUUAGCGAUUAACA
RNAcentral lists this transfer RNA (62 nucleotides) under Pseudosuccinea columella. RNAcentral's name for it is "tRNA-Asp". The record is from RNAcentral. Lineage: Eukaryota; Metazoa; Mollusca; Gastropoda; Lymnaeidae.